This 1728-nucleotide long non-coding RNA is filed under the name Anser brachyrhynchus (Pink-footed goose). RNAcentral describes it as "lncRNA (ENSABRG00000001479.1)". Lineage: Eukaryota; Metazoa; Chordata; Aves; Anseriformes; Anatidae. The record is from RNAcentral.
AGAGUUCUUCAAACAGCCUUUGGAUGACCGAUGGAAACUUCAGAUAGCAUAGCCACUUUUCUCUGUUCAGUAAAGCCAUUAAAUGAUAAACUAUUGAUUUUUAUAAUACAAUUAAGUUGCCAAUGUUUUCUUAAGAAAUCAUUUUACAUUUUCUGUAUUAUGCACUCAGCACAUUGUCUGUUGUAAGUCAGAUUAGGUAGUGUUCUCAGUCUGACAUGAAACUGUAUUCAUGCUACUCUCAGAAUGAAACCAUCUCCAUGUUAGUCUCAGCACUGCAGAGGAUUUCACUCUAAAUUGAACUGAUAACCUUUAUCUGUUUGAUCACGAUGUGUAUAUAUACAAUAAAAAAUUUAAGCACUGUAAUUUGCUGUUAUUGGGAUGUUCUUAAGGCAGAUAGUUUAUCAAAAAGUGUUAGUGACUUGCGUAGACAAGAAGAAAAAUUGCAAUUUCACAAAAAGCCUUAUGAUCCAGGGUUAAAAUGGACAGCCAUCUAGACUCACAGAGGAAUUUCUUCAUCUCUCCAUCACACAGAUUGUACAAUGAAGGAGAAUACCACAGAGUAUUUAUUCUGAAGUACCAUGAAGUAUUAGAAGGUGCCCACAGCACUGUAAUCCUCAUCCUCUGUGUCACUAAAGAAACAUCCUUCAGCAGUUUGAGAAAGAAGCUGAGGAUCUAAGCUGGCAGCAAGGCUUAAGUGCUCCCCACCUCUUCCCCUUGAAAUUGUCAGUAUGUAUGCUGAUGAUUUGCAGAUGCCUCGGUUGUCAUGGCUGCUACAUCUGACUGGUAUCAGUUCAUGAAUUAUACAUUUUAUGUAGUGGUGAUGUAUUAAUUUCACACUAGAGUCUGUAAAGAUAUUAUAUUUACAGAUAAAGCAUAAUUUUUCACACUUCCAGAAAUGAACAUUAAUUCUUUUCACCUCAGAUGGAAUCUGAAAGGACUUGUUGCAUUUCAUAGGAAGAAAUAUAAAUCUGGUGCCUAUUUGGAAGAUGAAGUCCAUUAAUAUACCAGUAAAGUUUUACAAUUUUUUUCAUGAUUCUAUAAUAGUGUAGGACUCUGAAAUGUGAGGUAAUUCUCCACAGAAAUACGGGGUGCUUUUACUUAAAGAAACCCUGUCCCUGAGCCCUCCACUACUCCAUACUAUCCCUUUAGAGUCAGUUCUUCCAGGUGAAAAUGAUUGCACAACUGCAAAGCAUUCUGAUAUUUUAUCAUUUGUCUCAAGUUGAGAAUGAACUGUAAUUCAUCUUGAAGUUUGAUGAGAAGGAUGCAUUCACAUAACUCUACUUCUACCACUUUACUACAUCACACUGUUUUUUUCUUUUCUUAAACAAUGAGCUGUGAGGUAACAAAAGUGAUGUACAUAUUAAAUAGCACAUGAUGAUAGCAUAUGACACAUUUCUGGCACUUGCAAUGUUCCUUAUAUGCCACCAGUCAUAUAAUCUGACUGUAUAAAUGAGUGCUGGUUAAAUGGCUUCCCCAGUGUAAUGCAUCUUUAAAUCCUAGAGAUUUUGAAUGCCACUUUUAGGCAGCUCUGCUCCCCAGGGUAAUAAGUAGCACUGAGUUGCAACUAGCUAGUAUGGCUAAUCAAAUAUUAACAGGAUUGAUUUGAGGUUAUUUUGGUAAGAAUAAGCAUUGAGUUUGAUUUGUAUUAAAUCUGGGGACAUAAAAUUCCCAAUGUGUGCACUCUGAACAGCUCCCAGAAGUCUAUGAAUCCCCACACUAAUUGCAAAU